Molecule: RNase P RNA, 313 nt
Filed under: Flavobacterium silvaticum
Lineage: Bacteria; Pseudomonadati; Bacteroidota; Flavobacteriia; Flavobacteriales; Flavobacteriaceae
Description: Bacterial RNase P class A
Rfam family: Bacterial RNase P class A
About the family: Ribonuclease P (RNase P) is a ubiquitous endoribonuclease, found in archaea, bacteria and eukarya as well as chloroplasts and mitochondria. Its best characterised activity is the generation of mature 5'-ends of tRNAs by cleaving the 5'-leader elements of precursor-tRNAs. Cellular RNase Ps are ribonucleoproteins.
Source: Rfam by way of RNAcentral
ACCGCAGGCCGCCUUAUCGCUGUUUCAGCAAUGAAACGGAGGAAAGUCCGGGCACCAUAGGGCAGCAUAGCGGGUAACGCCCGUCACGUCAGAGCAAUUUGAUGGAGGACAAGUGCAACAGAAAGCAAGUACAGUUCGGCUGUAGUGAAACCAGGUAAACUCUAUGCGGUGAAAUGCCAAGUAUACCGUCAGUUAAGGGCGGCUCGUCCGUUGACGGAGGGUAGGCAGAUAGAACCGUACGGCAACGUUCGGUCCAGAUAAAUGAUAAGGGCUCGUGAGAGUACAGAACCCGGCUUACAGGCCUGCUUUUUUU